RNAcentral lists this long non-coding RNA (3145 nucleotides) under Homo sapiens (human). RNAcentral's name for it is "HSALNT0348930". The record is from RNAcentral. Lineage: Eukaryota; Metazoa; Chordata; Mammalia; Primates; Hominidae.
GAGCGUAAGGGUGGCAAGGCGCCCGAGAGUCAGGGCUGGAGCUGAAGGUGGGUGACAGGGAGGGGGCGCCCAGGUGUCAGGACCUGAGGAGAAAGAGUGCGCGUAGCGGGAGGGCCCCGAAGUGUCGGGGCGGGAUCCUGGAAGGAGGGAGAACGUGAGGAGGGAGGAAGGGUCCCUGGGGUGUCAGGGAUGGGGGCCAGGAAAGGGGCAGAGAGCUGGAGGCCCACAAGUGGGGAUAGCGGGGGAGGGAGGUUGGAGCGAGUGGGGAACGCAGGUGGUGUCGAGGGCGGGGACAGGGCGAGGGGAGCGGGGCGUGAGGAAGUUGUGGGAAACCGCGCUGGACGCUGAGAAUGUGCGGAAGGAUCCUGAGGGGAGGACGCGAGACAGCGCGAGGAGAGACGAGGAGAGUUAGGGUUGGCCGGGAGGGUGCGAAGAUGAAGCGACCACUGGAGGCUGUGAGGGUGAAAGGAGCAAGAAUCGUCUAGAGACGGGCUGGGCCGGUGCUGGGGCCAAAGGCUUCUGUCUGUCAGGCCCUUUUUGGCGCUCACUCUAGAAAGAAGAGGCGGAGACGCGAAGAGAUCGGGUUAGAGUCAGAUUUUCGAAGCACGGAGAUGGGUUCAAUGAAAGGACGAGGAAAGACGAGAAACCAGCGGCCGGAGAACGGAGAGUUCAACAAUUUUUAUGAAUUUCUAAUCCAACCUCAUCAUCCUAUGGGAAACAGAAGACCACCAAGAACAGCCAGCUGAGACAGAAUUUCACUGUGUUGCCCAAGCCAAUCUUAAACUCCUGGUCUCAAGCGAUCCUCCUGCCUUGGCCUCCCACUGUGCCUGGCCUAUGGACUCUGAAUUUUUUUAAAAGACUGGAAAAAACUUUUAUAAGAGAAUUGGAAAUUUGGACAGUAUCUUGGCAGUAACCUCCUCCAUAUAUUUCCUUGGCCCUCAGCUUACAUCUAGCAAAAUGACUCUACUGGUUCCAGGCUUCACAUGCAUACAACAUGGUGUUGGAGGAACAGAGAUGUUUUCUCUUCCUGGUGUUUUCCCAGACAUUUCUUAGCUGGCAUUUCAAACAAGGGUCCUGAAAUUCACCCUGGUUGGGUCGUGUUCUCCCCUUCCCAUUCCCCAUCCCCACCCUCAACCGAAAAAUGAUGUAAGCAGGGGAAAUUGAAUGUACCAAUGUUUGUUUUUAAACAAGCCACAGACCCCUCCCCAACUCCCCGACUGAAGCUUGAAGUGGGAUCAGCUUUCCCUAAAGUACUUGAGCUUAUGGUAAAGCAUAUAUGUUAUCCAAGUUAAAGUCUGGACGCUGUUAGUAAUGGGAAGGCAAGUAAUGAAUGUUAGCUAUGGAGCCAACAGACAGUGUCCACUCCAUUGUCUUUAAGGCCCAACUAAAGAUAACCUCUUUACCAAUGUCGGUUUAUUUAUUCAUUUAUUUAUUCAUUGAGAUGGAGUCUCACUCUCUCACCCAAGCUGGAGUGCAGUGGAAUGAUCUCAGCUGACUGCAAUUUCUGCCUCCCAGGUUCAAGCAAUCUCCUGCUUCAGCCUCCCAAGUAGCUGGGAUUACAGGCGCACACCACCAUGCCCGGCUAAUUUUUGUAUUUUUAGUAGAGAUAGGGUUUCACCAUGUUGGCCAAGCUGGUCUCGGACACCUGACCUCAAGUGAUCUGCCUGCCUCGGCCCCCAAAGGUGUGAGCCACUGCACCUGGCUACAAUGUCAGUUUCUAUAAAAACUGCCUUGACUUGUUUUGUUUGCUUGUUUUGUUUGUUUGUGUUUUAAUUUUUAUUAUUUUUUUUUAGAGACAGGGUCUCAAUCUGUUGUCUAGGCUUGAGUGCAGUGGUGCAAUCAUAGCUCACUGAAGUGUUGGACUCCCAGGCUCAAGCAGUCCUCCCACCUCAGCCUCCCAAGUAGCUGAGACUACAGGCAUGCACCACCCUGUCUGGCUAAUUUUUUAUUUUUAGUAGAGAUGAGGUCUCACUAUGUUGCCCAAGGUGGCCUCAAACUCCUGGCCUCAAGUACUCCUGUGGCCUUAGCCUCCCAAAGCUCUGGGAUUGCAGGUAUGAGCCGCCAUGCCUGGCCUACUGUAUAUUUUAUGCAUUUGAUAUAAGUCUUGCCUCCCUAAGUAUAUUACAAGUCCCUUGAAGUUAAAGACAUUAGAUUCCUACUCAGUGCUGAGCUGCAACAGAGAGCACUCAAUGAUGGAUAAAAUAGUUUUAGCAUGCAUUCAGCGAUAUAUAUUUAGAAAGUGGAACUAGGUGGUUGAAAAAAGUGUAUAGAUGGGUGGAAGGGAAUAUUACAGCUCUUAGAAUUGUCCUAAGGUGAGAGUAACAAAUUAAGCAAUGAGUCCCUGGGUUCACUCAAGCAACUUCACUCUCUAAAACAAGAGCCCACAGAAUCCCAUUUCUGCUUUCAGAAUGAGUUUGAGGCCAAUAUUAUUUCCAUUUUUUUUCUUUUUCUUUCUUUCUUUUUUUUUUUUUUUUUUUUGAGACGGAGUUUCACUCUUGUUGCCCAGGCUGUUUUGAUCUCGGCUCACUGCAACCUCUGCCCCUGGGUUCAAGCGAUUCUCCUGUCUCAACCUCCCAAGCUGGGAUUACAAGCAUGCGCUACCACACCUGGCUAAUUUUGUAUUUUUAAUAGAGACGGGGUUUCUCUGUGUUGGUCAGGCUGGUCUCAAACUCCCAACCUCAGGUGAUCUGCCCACCUUGGCCCAGCCUCCAAUAUGAUUUUCUAAUAGCUGUGUUUGAUGAUUAUAUUUAUUCCUCCAUCAGUAGCUUUUUUAGCCUUGAAAAUAUCUAUUUAAGUUUCUUAUUUCCUUUGGAUCUAUCAAAGUGUUUUUCCCCAAGUGGCACCUGGGAAAACAUAUUCUAUUCAUUUAUUUUAUAACUGUUCCCUUGACCUCUUUAUUGCUUCCCUAUUACAACCCAAGAUGCUCUUGUAAACCUGACUUAAUAUUGGCAGUCUUCAUCCCUUGCAAAUGGAAGUGAUGACAGACCCAAUACUUUGUGUAAAAAUAUUUUGCUAUUUCUAUACAAAAUAUUUUAUUAAUGGAAACCACAUGUUAUGUAUUUUACAUAUGUUAUGACUUGAAAUUUAUGUUAUGACUUGAAAUUGGGGAAUCUGAUAUGUCUCUAAUAAUAAAGGCUUCACAGUA